CACAAACACCCAAAAACAACUAUUAAAUGUGGAUCUCAAUUUGUUAAACAGGAUCGUUCAGUCAAAAGUGAUAAAAAGUUGUGACUCUGACUUGCUGAACUUUAACCUGGUGGGAUAUUGGCAGCAGUAUAAAUGCCACAAUCCAGGAAAAGAAAGGACAUCUCUUAUAUGGCCACUUUUCUUUUUCUGCGUUGUGUGAAGGGAACCUAAAGGCAGCUUGUAGGCUGGACGGUGGGUAAGAUGUAGGGGAAAGGUCCGGACCGCCUACUGUUGAUUUAUAAGUCCUAUAGCGCCUGCCCCUCCUUUUCUUCCCUCAAACCUAAACCCCUCCAACCUCCAGGUUUUUCACCGUUGCAUCGCUCUCAGAUAACAAAAUGCAUAGGUCUUUGAUUUUCUGUGGUUUUCUUUCUAUUUUUUUCUGUUUUAAUCACAUCAACUGAAUGAAGGCAUUAGCUGAAUAGGAAACAAAAGACAGAGAGAAAGAAAAAACAAUACAAGUAAAAGAAAGACAGGAGGAAAACUUUAUAUUUAAAUGAAAUGACAAAGUAAAUAAAAAGAAGAAGAAAUAUGGAGGGCACAAGAAGUAAAAAAGGAGGUAACAAGGGAGGGAAUAUCGAAUUAGAAGUAAAUAGAUGAAUAAAUGAAAGGAUGAAAAUGAAAGGAAGAAGGAAAAAAUACAUGGAUCUAGGAAAGAAACAAAGAGAAAAGGAGGAAACGAAAUAAACAUAAAAUGGAGAUGGAAAGAGAGAAUGAUGGAUAGGAUGAAAGAGGAUCUAGGAUAUAAAUGAAGAGCGAAGAGAAAGACAAAAGGAAGCAAACAAGGAGACAAAAAUUGAAUCUGGGAAAGAAACACAGAGCGAAGAAGGGAGUAAGCCAGCAAAGAAGAAAAGGAAACAAUAAGGAAACAACAAAAGGAAGAGAAGAGGAAAGGAUUGGAAGCGAGGGAAUCAAAAGAAGGAAACGCCAAAUAAUACACUCACCGUCAGAUUAGUAAAUCCGCUACAAAACACAAGCUGCCGCUCUGCAGACUCCUCAGUGUCGGAUUGAUCUUGUGCAGGAUAUGAACCCAACAUCUGCAGCCUCCCUUCUGCGGGCAGCGACCACUCAGCGGUGGUCUUGAAGAAGGAGUGGCUUGUGUUCUUGCCAAAGCGUCAAGUAGCAUCCAAGUCAAAAGGUCAGCAGCUGUUUACCUCGCAGACAUGCAGCUACUUCUUUUAGCUUCGCUGCGACCUACAUUCUGAGGUGGAUGUAGAUCAAAGGUCACGUGGAUGGAAGUGGAGGUUCCCCUUCCGUCGGCGUGACAGCGCACACUUUUUCGACUGUCCCUGGAUUUUCACUGAUGUGUAAUUCACAGCCUCCGCCCAGUCAAAGUUCAUGAGGAGCCCCCUCUUAAAAGUGUUGUAUUUUACCUGAAAGACCUAAAUGUCAUCAUUGACCCG
Molecule: long non-coding RNA, 1439 nt
Organism: Gasterosteus aculeatus aculeatus (three-spined stickleback)
Lineage: Eukaryota; Metazoa; Chordata; Actinopteri; Perciformes; Gasterosteidae
Source: Ensembl